RNAcentral lists this long non-coding RNA (1627 nucleotides) under Paramuricea clavata. The record is from RNAcentral. Lineage: Eukaryota; Metazoa; Cnidaria; Anthozoa; Malacalcyonacea; Plexauridae.
AAACAGACCAGUGUAUUUGGGAAAAAUACACGAGCUUACAAUCAAAUGAUAUUUUUUAUCGAAUUCCAAAAAUUAUCGAUUUGAAAAGUAACACAGCAUAACAAUAUUACAUGCAACUUCCUUUUUAAGAAAAAACAAAAAGUUUAAACUUUAAAACGUGGCAGAAAAUAGAGCGCCAACAUACCUUUCAUCGUGCUCGAAAUCCGCCAUCUUGAAGAAAAUAUCCAAAAUAAUGCAUUUCGGUCGUAGUGCGAUCACCGCCUGCAUGCCGGUCGGGUAACAGAUCUAUGGUGGCCCAGCAGCGCCAUAGCAUUUUCCUAUAUUUUUAUUUAAUUAAUUACAAUACACACUAGCAAAGUAAAAACAUAUUAAGAUUAAAUUUAAAAUAAAAAAGAAACAAAAUAAAAACAAAUUAAUUAAAACUAAAACUGAAUAAAAAUAAAAUGAAAAUUCCACAUGGCCCAUGAGCGCCAUAGCAUUUUCCUAUAUUUUUAUUUAAUUAAUUUUGAUUUUAAAUACAUUUUUUAAUAAAAAUACAAUACACACUAGCAAAGUAAAAACAUAUUAAGAUUAAAUUUAAAAUAAAAAAAACAACAAAAUAAAAACAAAUUAAAAUCAAAACUGAAUAAAAAUAAAAUAAAAAUUCCACAUGGCCCAUGAGCGCCAUAGACCAGAAUUGGGUCAUUCCAGAAAAGAUCCAUACCCCCCCUCCCUUCGGAGGAAAUCGAAAAUAACCCCCUCCCCCCUUCGGACAUCCUUGAAUGGUUCAUCCUCCCCCCCUCUCCGGACAUCCAAGCCCAAAAUUACCCCCCUCCCCUUCGGGCAUCCACUAUUUCUAAAUUUUUCUAAAGGCUACCUCGCCGUUUGAAAACGUCACCGAAAAUUAGACUACGUUCAAACUACGCGCGAGCGAACUAAUGCGGGCAGAAUUUACGUGUGUUCAUACUACCGCCAUUACAGUUUGUUUACAAAUUGAAUUAGCACUCGUGUAAACCCAAAAUAUUUCAAAUAGACCCAAGAAAUUUGACUGAAAAGCAUUCAAGUUUACACGUUUGUGUUCACACGAAGCUAUCAAGCGCUCCGCCGUUUUCACCUCGCUCCGUUUAGAAACCGUGCUCAAAUUGUUACGGCAAAAGUGACGUGAAACUGUGAAAGUUUUCAAACGAUUUGCUCCAGCGUAGAGUGAAUUAGCGAUGGCUUAUUGUGACUUUUCUACGCUGUUCUCAAAUAGCUCUGGCGUGGCGGAACACUUGGCGGCUUCUUGUGACUUGCGAACACAAACAGGUGGCAGGUUUUGUCGGAUAAUUUGCAGAAAUUCACUUCGAAAUUUGUUCAAGUAAAAUCCGGACUGAAAUUCGAUGUAACUUGCGACUGAUUGACAAGCGUUGCUGUGUUUACUUACAUGUUAAUGCAUUUUUUAGUAUUACUGCAUUCCUUAACCUCGCCCUUAAUAUGAAAGCCAUUUCUAUUUUCUAGAUACGCACCUCGCAAGGAAGCUUUAUUGACUAUAUACUAAAACAAACUGUUUUGAGUUCAGUUCACAUAGCAGUCUCUUAACUCGAGCAACAGUUUAAUAACUAUUAUUUUUAACACUUGAAUAAUUCAAACUUAUAUAUAUACGAACGAG